Small nuclear RNA from Oryctolagus cuniculus (rabbit), 174 nucleotides. Its record names the gene U2. It matches the Rfam family "U2 spliceosomal RNA". From Rfam's summary of the family: U2 is a small nuclear RNA (snRNA) component of the spliceosome (involved in pre-mRNA splicing). Complementary binding between U2 snRNA (in an area lying towards the 5' end but 3' to hairpin I) and the branchpoint sequence (BPS) of the intron results the bulging out of an unpaired adenosine, on the BPS, which initiates a nucleophilic attack at the intronic 5' splice site, thus starting the first of two transesterification reactions that mediate splicing. The record is from Ensembl. Lineage: Eukaryota; Metazoa; Chordata; Mammalia; Lagomorpha; Leporidae.
AUCGCUUCUCGGCCUUUUGGCUAAGAUCAAGUGUAGUACAUACACAUGUUUUAGUAAAUGUGAGUUGUUGGCUUUUUAAGAAAGAUUUACUUAUGUAUUUGAAAGAGUUACAGCUGGGGCUGGGCCAGGCCAAAGUCAGGAGCCAGGAGUUUCUUCCAGUUCUCCCACAUGGGU